GUUACUGAAUAUUUUGCAGUGGGUAGCCAGCCUUAGGUCAUGUGCAUACAAACUGUUCUUCGUUUUCUCUUUCCUCCUGGGCUCAUCUUUUGGAUCUGGUAACAUACUGUGGAUUUGCUGCUGCAUGUUCUGGGUAGAACACAUCAAUCAGUAAUGCUUGUUUCCAGGAGUUUUGAGGUGAUCUAGACUAGCUCUUAAAUUAGUUAGUCCAGAUAUUAGCUAAAUUAUUUGUUGUGCCCCCAGAAUGCAAUGACUUGAUGUAGAUACCUACUGUGAGGGAAAAUACUGACAUAAAUUGUUUUUUCAAAGGUAUUUAACUACCCGCAGAGGUUCAAAGGAUUCCAAAGAACUGCAUGAAAGAUAUCCAAGGCAUGCAUCAUUUGUUCCUCUUGUUCCCUAAGGCUUGCUGUAGUGAAGGACCUAGAUGCUUCCCUCCUACAAAGGGAUACAAAAGCAGCACCAAACUUCCACCUCCGCAUGUUAUAAUAACAGUG
RNAcentral lists this long non-coding RNA (494 nucleotides) under Anas platyrhynchos platyrhynchos (common mallard). RNAcentral's name for it is "lncRNA (ENSAPLG00000026671.1)". Lineage: Eukaryota; Metazoa; Chordata; Aves; Anseriformes; Anatidae. The record is from RNAcentral.